Salmo salar (Atlantic salmon) is the source of this 620-nucleotide non-coding RNA. The record is from the annotation of a RefSeq genome assembly. Lineage: Eukaryota; Metazoa; Chordata; Actinopteri; Salmoniformes; Salmonidae.
AGUUAUUUAUGUACACUCUUCUUAUUCUAAUAGCUCUCUCAGGUCUAUGCAAAGUUACACCCCCUUUCUCUAUUGAUAUAAAGUGGAGUGUCUGUUUCUCUUUCACUCAGACUUAACAAUCCAGCUCCCACCAAUUCAGCUUCAACACAAAUCAUGUUCCCUGCAUCUCUGCUGCUGCUGCUGACAGCUGCAUCAUGUGUACACUGUGGACUUGAGUUCACCCAACCAAGCUCAUUGGAUGUAAAGCCUGGAGAGUCUUUGAGCAUCACCUGUAAAGUCUCUGGUUAUUCUCUGACUGAUAGCACCAACCUCCAUGGAAUAGGCUGGAUCCGACAUCCUACAGGAAAAGCACUUGAAUGGAUUUGGACCAUCUAUUAUGAUGGAAGCUCAAACUCUCAAAGUUCCCUAAAAGACAGGUUCAGUUUCACAAGAGACACUUCCAGCAACACAGUGUUUUUAAAAGGACAGAGUCUGCAGACUGAAGACACAGCUGUGUAUUACUGUGCUCGGUGGCCACAGUGAUACAAACCAGCAACAGACCAGUACAAAAACCUUAUACCCAUGGAAUGAAUCAAGCACAACACAACAAUAAGGCAUUUAUUUACCACCAGUAGAGACAU